UAGGGAAUCUUCGGCAAUGGGGGCAACCCUGACCGAGCAACGCCGCGUGAGUGAAGAAGGUUUUCGGAUCGUAAAGCUCUGUUGUAAGUCAAGAACGGGUGUGAGAGUGGAAAGUUCACACUGUGACGGUAGCUUACCAGAAAGGGACGGCUAACUACGUGCCAGCAGCCGCGGUAAUACGUAGGUCCCGAGCGUUGUCCGGAUUUAUUGGGCGUAAAGCGAGCGCAGGCGGUUUGAUAAGUCUGAAGUUAAGGCUGUGGCUCAACCAUAGUUCGCUUUGGAAACUGUCAAACUUGAGUGCAGAAGGGGAGAGUGGAAUUCCAUGUGUAGCGGUGAAAUGCGUAGAUAUAUGGAGGAACACCGGUGGCGAAAGCGGCUCUCUGGUCUGUAACUGACGCUGAGGCUCGAAAGCGUGGGGAGCGAACAGGAUUAGAUACCCUGGUAGUCCACGCCGUAAACGAUGAGUGCUAGGUGUUGGAUCC
This 482-nucleotide ribosomal RNA is filed under the name uncultured bacterium. RNAcentral describes it as "partial 16S ribosomal RNA". It matches the Rfam family "Bacterial small subunit ribosomal RNA", at positions 355 to 830 of the family's 1533-position model. The record is from RNAcentral.